GAGAGGGUUAUAAGAUCUGCUAACUCUUCAACCUGGUGUUAAUCACCCAGCCCUCUCUACCA
RNAcentral lists this transfer RNA (62 nucleotides) under Bungarus niger. RNAcentral's name for it is "transfer RNA-Ser". The record is from RNAcentral. Lineage: Eukaryota; Metazoa; Chordata; Lepidosauria; Squamata; Elapidae.